This 130-nucleotide small nucleolar RNA is filed under the name Dasypus novemcinctus (nine-banded armadillo). Its description in RNAcentral is "Small nucleolar RNA SNORA31 (ENSDNOG00000041760.1)". Lineage: Eukaryota; Metazoa; Chordata; Mammalia; Cingulata; Dasypodidae. The record is from RNAcentral.
AUGCAUCUCUGACAGACCUGGAGCACUUAAUGUCUGCUGCUAAGGUUUCCACUAUAGAUGCAAGGAAAAGAAGGUCCUUGCCCUUUCUGUCUGUCUGGUUGUGGCAACCAAGAUUUAAUGGAAUACAGGA